Molecule: ribosomal RNA, 308 nt
Filed under: uncultured Planctomycetota bacterium
Lineage: Bacteria; Pseudomonadati; Planctomycetota
Description: bacterial SSU rRNA
Rfam family: Bacterial small subunit ribosomal RNA
Source: RNAcentral
AAUGAACGUUGGCGGCGUGGAUUAGGCAUGCAAGUCGCGCGAUAAGAGUAGCAAUACUUGGACAGCGGCGAAAGGGAGAGUAAUACAUAGGUACGUACCCUUGGGACUGGGAUAGCGGCGGGAAACUGCCGGUAAUACCGAGAUGACGUUUCCGAACCAAAGGUGUGAAUCCGCCUGAGGAGCGGCCUAUGUCCUAUUAGCUUGGUUGGUGGGGUAACGGCCUACCAAGGCAAAGAUGGGUAUGGGGUGUGAGAGCAUGCCCCAUCACUGGGACUGAGACACUGCCCAGGACACCUACGGGUGGCCUG